AGAAACUUAGGAUUAAAACCUAAACCGGAAGCCUUCAAAGCCUCAAAUAAGAGAUAGACCUCUUAGUUUCUG
Molecule: transfer RNA, 72 nt
Filed under: Podocnemis expansa
Lineage: Eukaryota; Metazoa; Chordata; Testudines; Podocnemididae
Description: tRNA-Trp
Source: RNAcentral